Molecule: ribosomal RNA, 531 nt
Filed under: uncultured bacterium
Lineage: Bacteria
Description: bacterial SSU rRNA
Rfam family: Bacterial small subunit ribosomal RNA
Source: RNAcentral
UGCAGAUGAAUUACGGUGAAAGCCGUAAGCCGCAAGGCAUCUGUGAAGGUGCUGCAUGGUUGUCGUCAGCUCGUGCCGUGAGGUGCCGGCUUAAGUGCCAUAACGAGCGCAACCCUUGUUGUCAGUUACUAACAGGUUCCGCUGAGGACUCUGACAAGACUGCCAUCGUAAGAUGUGAGGAAGGUGGGGAUGACGUCAAAUCAGCACGGCCCUUACGUCCGGGGCUACACACGUGUUACAAUGGGGGGUACAGAGGGCCGCUACCACGCGAGUGGAUGCCAAUCCCCAAAACCUCUCUCAGUUCGGACUGGAGUCUGCAACCCGACUCCACGAAGCUGGAUUCGCUAGUAAUCGCGCAUCAGCCACGGCGCGGUGAAUACGUUCCCGGGCCUCGUACACACCGCCCGUCAAGCCAUGGGAGCCGGGGGUACCUGAAGUGCGUAACCGCGAGGAGCGCCCUAGGGUAAAACUGGUGACUGGGGCUAAGUCGUAACAAGGUAGCCGUACCGGAAGGUGCGGCUGGAUCACCUC